Molecule: long non-coding RNA, 261 nt
Organism: Cyprinodon tularosa
Lineage: Eukaryota; Metazoa; Chordata; Actinopteri; Cyprinodontiformes; Cyprinodontidae
Exons: 5
Source: RefSeq, a predicted model, not a curated record
CGUCCCCCAGCAAGACGGUGUUAUAUAAAUAUCUGCAGACCAAGGCUGUGAGGCUGGAGAAGAUCACACUUGCAGUUAUAUAAAUAUCUGCAGACCAAGGCUGUGAGGCUGGAGAAGAUCACACUUGCAGUUAUAUAAAUAUCUGCAGACCAAGGCUGUGAGGCUGGAGAAGAUCACACUUGCAAGUCAGUCCUCCAUAGCGAAGGACGCAUCCCCAAGUUUAGAACACAGCCCCUGAACUGGGAGCAAGAAGUGGAAAAA